AUGCCACCGCUACCGAUGACCGACCCUCCCACCGGAAUGGAUAGCCCGGACCCUUUCGACACCCCGUCGGACACCGCCGCCCGUUUGUCGCCACCGAAAACGACCCCCGUACCGCCGCCCGCGCCGAAGAAAAACUUGGGGAUAAAAGAAGUUCAUCGUGUUAAAGCUCCGGCUCAAACAGCUGCAAAGGCCGCCGGGGUGGCAAUUGCCUCUCUAGCAACGACCCGCCACCCUCCCGCCGCUCCCGCCAGAGCCAAACGAGCUAGUAAACCGAAGGCAGCGGGAUCGGGCCUCACCGAGGAGGCCGCGAAGAAGAAGUAA
This 321-nucleotide ribosomal RNA is filed under the name Triticum aestivum (bread wheat). Its description in RNAcentral is "partial small subunit ribosomal RNA". The record is from RNAcentral. Lineage: Eukaryota; Viridiplantae; Streptophyta; Magnoliopsida; Poales; Poaceae.